GUUAAAAAGCUCGUAGUUGAAUUUCGGGGUUAGUAGGUUGGUCAUGCCUCUGGUAUGUACUGGUCUCACUGAUUCCUCCUUCCUUAUGAACCGUAAUGCCAUUAAUUUGGUGUUGCGGGGAAUUUGGACUGUUACUUUGAAAAAAUUAGAGUGUUUAAAGCAAGCUAACGCUUGAAUACAUUAGCAUGGAAUAAUGAAAUAGGACGUUCGAUCUUAUUUUGUUGGUUUCUAGGAUUGACGUAAUGAUUAAUAGGGAUAGUUGGGGGCAUUAGUAUUCAAUUGUCAGAGGUGAAAUUCUUGGAUUUAUUGAAGACUAACUACUGCGAAAGCAUUUGC
RNAcentral lists this ribosomal RNA (336 nucleotides) under uncultured Glomus. RNAcentral describes it as "SSU rRNA". It matches the Rfam family "Eukaryotic small subunit ribosomal RNA", at positions 618 to 958 of the family's 1831-position model. Lineage: Eukaryota; Fungi; Glomeromycota; Glomeromycetes; Glomerales; Glomeraceae. The record is from RNAcentral.